AUGUUGCUGCAAUGAUAAGCAGCCGUCACUCUUAUUCUCAUUCCCUCUUGCUCUGAAUACCUCAUAGAAAUACUCACUGAAAUUCCUUACAAAACACUCAGAAUACAAAACCUUAACAUUAUUUGUGGUUUGAAGAUUUUGUCUUGUCAUUGGUAGUUUAAUUUUUGUAUGCAUUAACUUUUUUUGUUGAUAACGUUUCUCCUUUGUAGGGCCAAAAUGAUGCAAAAUAAAAGAAAGAAGGUGAAGGUGAGGAUGAAGAUAAAAAUGAAGAGGAGGAGGAACCAGAGGACGACGACUUUAGUGAUGAUGAUUAUUACAAGGAUUAGGUGAUGGAUCUCGCCAUGUGUGGGAAAACAAAAUGUUUCUAAUGAAACUAUGGUCUUGCAGCACUCUGAUUUUGAUAAUGAUGAAGAUGAAUACAAUAUGGAAGAUGACGGUGACGGUAGGAACCAUUCAUCUUAUCAACUGCAAUUUUUAUCGUACUAUAGCAUGGAAUAAUUGAGCUUGUGAAUUUACUAAUAAGCUUGUGAAUGUACUAUAGCAUAGAAAAUAGGAUUUGAUGUUGGAAUUGGGGGUAAAUUAGAUUAGAUAUUACAAAAUGACAUUUAGAUUGUAAUUUUCUUUGAGUUUCUAUUCUAGUAGUUUUUUUUCUAGUUUACUAAAGUUUGCUAUGAACUUUAGCAAACUUUGAUUUGUAAAGAGUGGGCUAGGCUACUCUAGCACUAUAGUCUAGGGGUAUGUUUGCACAUUUGUUCUAGACAAGUGAACGACGAGUACAAAUUAUUGUGUGGCUCAGCUCAGUACCAUACUCUCAAUAUCAAAGUGGGUUGAUGUAAUAACGUUGCCUUUCACUUGAAAUGUUUAUUUUACCAUUGAAUGUGUAAGGCUUAAUAAGCAAAAAUAUUUAUCGUAUUUAGGGCAAUCUUGAAUCCACAUUGCACCAAUGAGUUCAACUAA
Malus domestica (apple) is the source of this 957-nucleotide non-coding RNA. The record is from RefSeq and is a predicted model, not a curated record. Lineage: Eukaryota; Viridiplantae; Streptophyta; Magnoliopsida; Rosales; Rosaceae.